Ylistrum balloti is the source of this 587-nucleotide long non-coding RNA. RefSeq lists it as uncharacterized. The transcript has 3 exons. Lineage: Eukaryota; Metazoa; Mollusca; Bivalvia; Pectinida; Pectinidae. The record is from RefSeq and is a predicted model, not a curated record.
GUGAGGUUUGUAGAAAACAUGAGAUUAGAGUGAGGUUUGUAGAAAACAUGAGUUUAGAGUGAGGUUUGUAGAAAACAUAAGUUUAGAGUGAGGUUUGUAGAAAACAUGAGUUUAGAGUGAGUGUUAUAGAAUGCAUGAGUUUAGAGUGAGGUUUGUAGAAAACAUGAGUUUAGAGUGAGUGUUAUAGAAUGCAUGAGUUUAGAGUGAGGUUUGUAGAAUACACAAGUUUAGAGUGAGUGUUAUAGAAUGCAUGAGUUUAGAGUGAGGUUUGUAGAAUACAUGAGUUUAGAGUGAGGUUUGUAGAAAACAUGAGUUUAGAGUGAGGUUUGUAGAAUACAUGAGUUUAGAGUGAGGUUUGUAGAAAACAUGAGUUUAGAGUGAGUGUUAUAAAAUGCAUGAGUUUAGAGUGAGGUUUGUAGAAUACAUGAGUUUAGAGUGAGUGUUAUAGAAUGCAUGAGUUUAAAGUGAGUGUUGUAGAAAACAUGAGUUUAGAGUGAGGUUUGUAGAAAACAUGAGUUUAGAGUGAGUGUUAUAGAAUGCAUGAGUUUAGAGUGAGGUUUGUAGAAUACACAAGUUUAGAGUGAGGU